CAUUUGUAGCAUUGCUCCAGAGAAAACAAACGAUGUUGAGAUUGACCUUGCAGCCAAGGUUUUGAUGAAGAUGAAGACAACGUCGUCGCCAAUGUCAUGAUCACGAACAAGAUGAAAGAAAGAAAGCUUGUUGCUCCCAAAAGAAACGAAAAAGCUACGUAAGCUUCAGUUUCUUGAACAAUAUGUCUAGCCUUACCAUGCCUACUCCUGCAAGUCCUGUAAGUAUUAAUUUUCACAGUAUCAGUACUCAAUCUUUAAUUUUCUUUCACUUUUCUAAUUAAUGUCUUUAUUUUCUAACCGUAUUCUUUAAUUAAUUUGUCACAGACAAAGGGAAACGAGCUAGGGAAAGAAGCAAAAGUACCUCUACCAAUACUAAAUUAAACAGUUUGCACGACGAGGGAUAUUUUGUCGCGCAAAGCAUUCUUAGGUCGCACAAAAACUAUGGCGACCAGAAAUUCGUCGUGCAAAGGUCGUGAAAAAAGACAUUGCGCAACAAAUAAUUUCAAAUUCGUCGUGCACCUAAACAAUUGCUCGAUGGUUUAGUACUCGUCGUGCUAAUGUUAUACGGACAAAGGUUUUCGUCAUAUGAUAUAAAAGGGUACAAGUGCGCUUUUGU
RNAcentral lists this long non-coding RNA (616 nucleotides) under Malus domestica (apple). RNAcentral describes it as "long non-coding RNA (MDOM_LNC000733)". Lineage: Eukaryota; Viridiplantae; Streptophyta; Magnoliopsida; Rosales; Rosaceae. The record is from RNAcentral.